Molecule: ribosomal RNA, 501 nt
Filed under: uncultured bacterium
Lineage: Bacteria
Description: bacterial SSU rRNA
Rfam family: Bacterial small subunit ribosomal RNA
Source: RNAcentral
GACGAACGCUGGCGGCGUGCUUAACACAUGCAAGUCGAGCGGUAAGGCCCUUUCGGGGGUACGACGAGCGGCGAACGGGUGAGUAACACGUGGGUGACCUGCCCUCAGCUCUGGGAUAAGCCUGGGAAACCGGGUCUAAUACCGGAUAUGACUCCAUGACGCAUGUUGUGGGGUGGAAAGCCUUGUGCGGCUGAGGAUGGGCCCGCGGCCUAUCAGCUUGUUGGUGGGGGAUGGCCUACCAAGGCGACGACGGGUAGCCGGCCUGAGAGGGCGACCGGCCACACUGGGACUGAGACACGGCCCAGACUCCUACGGGAGGGCAGCAGUGGGGAAUUGUUCGCAAUGGGCGCAAGCCUGACGACGCAACGCCGCGUGGAGGAUGAAGGUCUUCGGAUUGUAAACUCCUGUUGCUCGGGACAAAAGCUUCGACCUAACACGUCGAAGUCUGACGGUACCGGGUGAGGAAGCCCCGGCUAACUCUGUGCCAGCCGCCGCCGUAAU